AGGACGAACGCUGGCGGCGUGCUUCAUACAUGCAAGUCGAACGAUAAGGUCUCUUCGGAGACACAUAAGUGGCGGACGGGUGAGUAAAAUGUAGAGAAUCUGCCCUAGAGUGGGGGACAACAGUUGGAAACGACUGCUAAUACCGCAUAUGAGCGUACCUGCAAUGGUAUUCUUGAAAACUUCGGUGCUCUGGGAUGAGUCUGCAUCUGAUUAGCUAGUUGGCGGUGUAAUGGACCACCAAGGCGACGAUCAGUAGCUGGUUUGAGAGGAUGAUCAGCCACAAUGGGACUGAGACACGGCCCAUACUCCUACGGGAGGCAGCAGUAGGGAAUUUUGCGCAAUGGGCGAAAGCCUGACGCAAGCAACGCCGCGUGAUUGAAUAAGCCCUUCGGGGUGUAAAGAUCUGUCAGUAGGGGCGAAACUUGACGGUACCUACAGAGGAAGCAUCGGCUAACUCCGUGCCAGCCGCUGC
RNAcentral lists this ribosomal RNA (472 nucleotides) under uncultured bacterium. RNAcentral describes it as "bacterial SSU rRNA". It matches the Rfam family "Bacterial small subunit ribosomal RNA", at positions 26 to 518 of the family's 1533-position model. The record is from RNAcentral.